Molecule: ribosomal RNA, 2309 nt
Filed under: human metagenome
Description: bacterial LSU rRNA
Rfam family: Bacterial large subunit ribosomal RNA
Source: RNAcentral
UAAAAUAAUUAAGGGCACACAAAGGAUGCCUAGGUAGUAAGAGCCGAUGAAGGACGUGGUAAGCUGCGAUAAGCCUAGAUAAGUUGCAAUCGAACGUAAGAGUCUAGGAUUUCCGAAUGGAGCAAUCUAUUAAGAUGGAGUCUUAAUACGAAAGAGGGAACCGCGUGAACUGAAACAUCUAAGUAACGCGAGGAAAAGAAAGUAAAAACGAUACCCAAAGUAGCGGCGAGCGAAAUGGGUCAAGCCUAAACCUUAAAUAUGUCAAGGAUACAGCCGUUGUAUUUAAGGGGUUGAGGGACAGAGUAGUGAAGAACUGUAAGAUAUUCAAUAUAGUGUAUUGAUGAAUUGGAAUUGUCUGGAAAGGCGAACCGUAGAAGGUGAAAGUCCUGUACAAGUAAAUCCUUACACAUAUAACUCUGCUCCCAAGUAACAUGGAACACGAGGAAUUCUGUGUGAAUCUGUGAGGACCAUAUCUCAUAAGGCUAAAUACUCUUACUAACCGAUAGCGCAUAGUACCGUGAGGGAAAGGUGAAAAGAACCCCUGGAGGGGAGUGAAAUAGAACCUGAAAUUGUGUGCUUACAAGCGGUCAGAGCCAGUGAUGGUGAUGGCGUGCCUUUUGGAGAAUGAUCCUGCGAGUUACGUUAAACGGCGAGGUUAAGUAUAACGGAGCCGAAGGGAAACCAAGUCUUAAUAGGGCGAUUUAGUCGUUUGGCGUAGACGCGAAACCUGGUGAUCUAAACCUGUCCAGGAUGAAGCUGUGGUAAGACACAGUGGAGGUCCUAACCCACCGCCGUUGAAAAGUUGGGGGAUGAGGUAGGUUUAGGGGUGAAAAGCCAAUCGAACCAGGAGAUAGCUCGUUCUCUCCGAAAUGCAUCUAGGUGCAGCCUUGAGUGUUCAAUUAUGGGGGUAGAGCACUGAAUGAUCUAGGGGGCGUAUUGCUUACUGAAAUCAAUCAAACUCCGAAUACCAUAAUUUAGAGCUCAGGAGUGAGACUAUGGGAGUUAACUUCCAUUGUCGAAAGGGAAACAACCCAGACCACCAGCUAAGGUCCCUAAUUAUAACUAAGUGGGAAAGGAGGUGGAGAUUCACAAACAACUAGGAGGUUGGCUUAGAAGCAGCCAUACCUUUAAAGAGUGCGUAAUAGCUCACUAGUCGAGAGUCUCUGCGCCGACAAUGUAACGGGGCUAAGUUAUAAACCGAAGCUGUGGAAUCCGUAAGGAUUGGUAGGAGAGCGUUCUGUAGGCCGUUGAAGGAGAAGGGUAACCGACUCUGGAGGUAUCAGAAGUGAGAAUGCAGGAAUAAGUAGCGAGAAAGGGGGCGAGAAUCCCCCUCGCCGGAAGACCAAGGUUUUCAGGGUAAAGCUUGUCUUCCCUGAGUAAGCCGGGACCUAAGCCCAGGCUAUAAUGCGUAGGCGAAUGGAAAACAGAUUAAUAUUUCUGUGCCAGUCAUAUAUUGUGAUGGAGGGACGCAGAAGGGUAUGCGCGCGGACGAACGGAAGUGUCCGUAGAAGUAUGUAGGAUGACUUGAUAGGAAAAUCCAUUGAGUUAUAUCUGAGGUAUGAUAUACAGUCGUAAGAUGAAUGCGCAAAUCCCACGCUGCCAAGAAAAGCUUCUAACGUUAAUAUUUGACUGCCCGUACUGCAAACCGACACAGGUGGUCAGGAUGAGAAAUCUAAGGCGGACAGGCUAACUCUCGUUAAGGAACUCUGCAAAAUAACCUCGUAACUUCGGGAGAAGAGGAGCCCUUGAGGGUCAGUAUCCACGCGAUACAAAGCGCUCGAGGGUCGCAGUGAAGAGGCUCAAGCAACUGUUUAACAAAAACACAGGUCUAUGCUAAGCUGGAAGGCGAUGUAUAUGGGCUGACACCUGCCCAGUGCUGGAAGGUUAAGAGGAGGAGUGAGAGCUCCGAAUUGAAGCCCCAGUGAACGGCGGCCGUAACUAUAACGGUCCUAAGGUAGCGAAAUUCCUUGUCGGGUAAGUUCCGACCUGCACGAAUGGUGUAAUGAUUUGAGCGCUGUCUUGACGGGAGGCCUGGUGAAAUUGUAUUACCGGUGAAGAUACCGGUUACCUACAGUAGGACGGAAAGACCCCAUGGAGCUUUACUGUAGCUUGGUAUUGGGUUUUGGCAUUGCAUGUAUAGGAUAGUUGGGAGACUGAGAUGAUAUGGCGCUAGCUGUAUCGGAGUCAUCGGUGGAAUACCAACCAUUCAAUGCUGAAAUUCUAAUCUGUGGUUUGUAGCCACGGAGACAGUGCUAGGUGGGCAGUUUGACUGGGGCGGUCGCCUCCCAAAGAGUAACGGAGGCGUUCAA